CCUACGGGUGGCAGCAGUGGGGAAUAUUGGACAAUGGGCGAAAGCCUGAUCCAGCCAUGCCGCGUGUGUGAAGAAGGCCUUCGGGUUGUAAAGCACUUUCAGUGGGGAAGAAAGCCUUGGGGCUAAUACCCUCGAGGAAGGACAUCACCCACAGAAGAAGCACCGGCUAACUCAGUGCCAGCAGCCGCGGUAAUACGGAGGGUGCGAGCGUUAAUCGGAAUUACUGGGCGUAAAGCGCGCGUAGGCGGUCUGAUAAGCCGGUUGUGAAAGCCCCGGGCUCAACCUGGGAACGGCAUCCGGAACUGUCAGGCUAGAGUGCAGGAGAGGAAGGUAGAAUUCCCGGUGUAGCGGUGAAAUGCGUAGAGAUCGGGAGGAAUACCAGUGGCGAAGGCGGCCUUCUGGACUGACACUGACGCUGAGGUGCGAAAGCGUGGGUAGCAAACAGGAUUAGAUACCCGGGUAGUC
RNAcentral lists this ribosomal RNA (465 nucleotides) under Vreelandella stevensii. Its description in RNAcentral is "partial 16S ribosomal RNA". It matches the Rfam family "Bacterial small subunit ribosomal RNA", at positions 338 to 795 of the family's 1533-position model. The record is from RNAcentral. Lineage: Bacteria; Pseudomonadati; Pseudomonadota; Gammaproteobacteria; Oceanospirillales; Halomonadaceae.